GAUGUUGGGUUAAGUCCCGCAACGAGCGCAACCCUUGUCUUUAGUUGCCAUCAUUAAGUUGGGCACUCUAGAGAGACUGCCAGGGAUAACCUGGAGGAAGGUGGGGAUGACGUCAAAUCAUCAUGCCCCUUAUGCUUAGGGCUACACACGUGCUACAAUGGGUAGUACAGAGGGUUGCCAAACCGUAAGGUGGAGCUAAUCCCUUAAAGCUACUCUCAGUUCGGAUUGUAGGCUGAAACUCGCCUACAUGAAGCUGGAGUUACUAGUAAUCGCAGAUCAGAAUGCUGCGGUGAAUGCGUUCCCGGGUCUUGUACACACCGCCCGUCACACCACGGGAGUUGGAGACGCCCGAAGCCGAUUAUCUAACCUUUUGGAAGAAGUCGUCGAAGGUGGAAUCAAUAACUGGGGUGAAGUCGUAACAAGGUAGCCGUAUCGGAAGGUGCGGCUGGAUCACCUCCUUU
RNAcentral lists this ribosomal RNA (461 nucleotides) under Clostridioides sp. ZZV14-6345. Its description in RNAcentral is "bacterial SSU rRNA". It matches the Rfam family "Bacterial small subunit ribosomal RNA", at positions 1071 to 1533 of the family's 1533-position model. The record is from RNAcentral. Lineage: Bacteria; Bacillati; Bacillota; Clostridia; Peptostreptococcales; Peptostreptococcaceae.